CAACUCAAUUUCUCAAAACUUUUAAUCCUUAUCUAUUCUUAUGGAAUCCGUACUCAAAAUAAGCAAUUUAAGUGAGGUUAAGCCGUACAAAUCUUCAUGGAGCGUUUCAGUGAAAGUUAUUCAUACAUGGAUUCCAUUCGGUUUGGUGCAUCUCUUAAAAUGAUUUUAGCCGAAAAAAUGGUGUAAAAAUUCAUGUCAUUUGCAAACAAUAUCUUAUGCAACAAUUCGAGAAGCAGAUUGGUGUUUGGGAAUGGAAAGUUAUUAGCAACUUUUCAUUACGUGCAGCUUGUGGUACCAGUUGACCCACCAACCAUGUGUUCAGAAUUGAGUUCAUGAACCACACCUUGGUAACAACCACACUUUGGUAACAAACUGUAAUUUCACGUGCUGCGAUGACAUGUUCCUAAAUCUCCAUGCUUUUGCCAUCAUUAUAGAUGGUUCAUGAGACGAUCGUUUUCUUAUUGAUGUGGUUGGAGUGAUCUUUGACUUUGGAGGUCACGAUAUUGGUCAAGCUGGAAGGAAAGAAAUUGCCAAGCUGGUCAGCCCAUAUAAGGCUCCAAAUGGGGAAAACGUAUCAGGCGUUGCGGAUCUAGCGUAUCGAACUGAUCGAGCAGAACAAGAGUGGAUCAGGCGGAUCGAGCGGUACAAGAGUGGAUCAGGCGGAUCGAGCGGUCCAAAACAUAUAUUUGAAUGGUGAAUAUGGAUAAAGUGUGGUUCAAAGUACUGUACUAAUUUAAAUUAAUCU
Long non-coding RNA from Raphanus sativus (radish), 745 nucleotides. RefSeq lists it as uncharacterized. The transcript has 3 exons. NCBI's taxonomy places the organism in Eukaryota, Viridiplantae, Streptophyta, Magnoliopsida, Brassicales, Brassicaceae. The record is from RefSeq and is a predicted model, not a curated record.